This 328-nucleotide unclassified non-coding RNA is filed under the name soil metagenome. RNAcentral's name for it is "partial contains 5.8S ribosomal RNA, internal transcribed spacer 2, and large subunit ribosomal RNA". The stretch from base 1 to 120 matches the Rfam family "5.8S ribosomal RNA", at positions 35 to 154 of the family's 154-position model. The record is from RNAcentral.
GAUGAAGAACGCAGCGAAAUGCGAUAAGUAGUGUGAAUUGCAGAAUUCAGUGAAUCAUCGAAUCUAUGAACGCACAUUGCGCCCCUUGGUAUCCCGAGGGGCAUGCCUGUUCGAGCGUCAUUUCACCACUCAAGCCUGGCUUGGUGUUGGGCGACGUCCCCUUUGGGGACGCGCCUCGAAACGCUCGGCGGCGUGGCACCGGCUUUAAGCGUAGCAGAAUCUUUCGCUUUGGAAGUCGGGGCCCCGUCUGCCGGAAGACCUACUCGCAAGGUUGACCUCGGAUCAGGCAGGGAUACCCGCUGAACUUAAGCAUAUCAAUAAGCGGAGG